UACGGAGGUUGCAAGGGUUAAUCGGAAUUACUGGGCGUAAAGCGCGCGUGGGCGGUUUUUUAAGUCGGAUGUGAAAGCCCCGGGCUCAACCUGGGAACUGCAUCCGAUACUGGAAGACUAGAAUGCGGGAGAGGGAGGUAGAAUUCCAUGUGUAGCAGUGAAAUGCGUAGAUAUAUGGAGGAAUACCAGUGGCGAAGGCGGCCUCCUGGCUCGACAUUGACGCUGAGGUACGAAAGCUAGGGUAGCAAAUGGG
This 253-nucleotide ribosomal RNA is filed under the name uncultured bacterium. RNAcentral's name for it is "partial 16S ribosomal RNA". It matches the Rfam family "Bacterial small subunit ribosomal RNA", at positions 524 to 776 of the family's 1533-position model. The record is from RNAcentral.